This 468-nucleotide ribosomal RNA is filed under the name uncultured bacterium. RNAcentral's name for it is "partial 16S ribosomal RNA". It matches the Rfam family "Bacterial small subunit ribosomal RNA", at positions 28 to 507 of the family's 1533-position model. The record is from RNAcentral.
GACGAACGCUGGCGGCGUGCUUAACACAUGCAAGUCGAACGGAAAGGCCCUGCUUUUGUGGGGUGCUCGAGUGGCGAACGGGUGAGUAACACGUGAGUAACCUGCCCUUGACUUUGGGAUAACUUCAGGAAACUGGGGCUAAUACCGGAUAGGAGCUCCUGCUGCAUGGUGGGGGUUGGAAAGUUUCGGCGGUUGGGGAUGGACUCGCGGCUUAUCAGCUUGUUGGUGGGGUAGUGGCUUACCAAGGCUUUGACGGGUAGCCGGCCUGAGAGGGUGACCGGCGAGGUUGGGACUGAGGUACGGGCCAGACUCCGACGGGAGGCAGCGGUGGGGGAUAGUGCGGAAUGGGCGGAAGCGUGAGGCAGCGACGCCGCGUGGGGGAUGGCGGCCGUCGGGUUGUAGGCGGCUUGCGCGUGGGGGGGAGCGGGGGUGGCGGUGGUGGGUAGAGAAGCAGCGGGUAAGGAGGUG